GCACAAGCGGUGGAUGAUGUGGAUUAAUUCGAUGCAACGCGAAAAACCUUACCUACCCUUGACAUGCCAGGAACCCUGCUGAGAGUGGGGUGCUCGAAAGAGAGCCUGGACACAGGUGCUGCAUGGCUGUCGUCAGCUCGUGUCGUGAGAUGUUGGGUUAAGUCCCGCAACGAGCGCAACCCUUGUCAUUAGUUGCCAUCAUUCAGUUGGGCACUCUAAUGAGACUGCCGGUGACAAACCGGAGGAAGGUGGGGAUGACGUCAAGUCCUCAUGGCCCUUAUAGGUGGGGCUACACACGUCAUACAAUGGCCGGUACAGAGGGUAGCCAACCCGCGAGGGGGAGCCAAUCCCACAAAGCCGGUCGUAGUCCGGAUCGCAGUCUGCAACUCGACUGCGUGAAGUCGGAAUCGCUAGUAAUCGCGGAUCAGCAUGUCGCGGUGAAUACGUUCCCGGGUCUU
RNAcentral lists this ribosomal RNA (458 nucleotides) under uncultured Rhodocyclaceae bacterium. RNAcentral's name for it is "bacterial SSU rRNA". It matches the Rfam family "Bacterial small subunit ribosomal RNA", at positions 923 to 1382 of the family's 1533-position model. The record is from RNAcentral. Lineage: Bacteria; Pseudomonadati; Pseudomonadota; Betaproteobacteria; Rhodocyclales; Rhodocyclaceae.